AGCUAAUAGAUACCCUGGUAGUCCCAGCAGUAAACGGUGCGCGUUUGGUGUGAGCAGGUUCGACCCUGUUCGCGCCGGAGCUAACGCGUUAAACGCGCCGCCUGGGAAGUACGAUCGCAAGAUUAAAACUCAAAGAAAUUGACGGGGGCCCGCACAAGCGGUGGAGUAUGUGGCUUAAUUCGAUGCAACGCGAAGAACCUUACCUGGGUUUGACAUGCAUCUCUAAGGCGGUGAAAGCUGCCGAGGGUAGCAAUACCCAAUUUGCACAGGUGCUGCAUGGCUGUCGUCAGCUCGUGUCGUGAGAUGUUGGGUUAAGUCCCGCAACGAGCGCAACCCUUGUAUGCUGUUGCCAUGAUUACUCAUGGCUCUCUGCGUAGACUGCCCCGUGAAACGGGGGAGGAAGGUGGGGAUGACGUCAAGUCAGCAUGGCCCUUACACCCAGGGCUGCACACGUACUACAAUGCCCAGUACAAUUCGAACCCGUCCGCGAGGGCUGGGAAAUCAGCGAAAACUGGGCUCAGUUC
This 524-nucleotide ribosomal RNA is filed under the name uncultured bacterium. RNAcentral's name for it is "bacterial SSU rRNA". It matches the Rfam family "Bacterial small subunit ribosomal RNA", at positions 767 to 1294 of the family's 1533-position model. The record is from RNAcentral.